RNAcentral lists this unclassified non-coding RNA (401 nucleotides) under soil metagenome. RNAcentral's name for it is "partial contains 5.8S ribosomal RNA, internal transcribed spacer 2, and large subunit ribosomal RNA". The stretch from base 1 to 121 matches the Rfam family "5.8S ribosomal RNA", at positions 35 to 154 of the family's 154-position model. The record is from RNAcentral.
GAUGAAGAACUUAGCGAAAUGCGAUAAGUAAUGUGAAUUGCAGAAUUCAGUGAAUCAUCGAAUCUUUGAACGCACCUUGCGCCCUUUGGCCAUUCCGAAGGGCAUGCCUGUUUGAGUAUCAUGAACACCUCAACUCUCAUGGCUUGCCAUGAUGAGCUUGGACUUUGGGGGUCUUGCUGGCCUGUGGUCGGCUCCUCUCAAAUGAAUCAGCUUGCCAGUGUUUGGUGGCAUCACAAGUGUGAUAACUAUCUGCGCUCGUGGUUUCCAUCAGAUAACCUCCAGUGAUGGAGGUUCGCUGGAGCUCAUAAAUGUCUCUCCUAAGCGAGGACAGCUCUUUUAAUGUUUGAUCUCAAAUCAGGUAGGACUACCCGCUGAACUUAAGCAUAUCAAUAAGCGGAGGA